AGUUUGGUUGUGAGCUUGUAAAACAACCAACUGUAAUCUGUAGGAUUAUAGUGAAAUUCCCAAGAGGUCUUGGGGAGUGGAUGUAGGUGCUGGGGUGCACCGAACCACUAUAUGUUUGUUGUGUUUGUAAUGCUUCUUGUUAUUGUCUAACUAACACACUUACUUACUUAGAUAAAUUGCUUGCUUAACUCUUAUCCGCGCAUCCUUUAGUUGCAAGCAUAUUCAAUCAAGUCACAUUCUAUACAUCCAACUGUUGCUAAGUUUAACUUUCACUGUGCAUCUAUACAACUUAGCAUAAUUAAUCAAAAAGUGCCAGAAGUAG
RNAcentral lists this long non-coding RNA (322 nucleotides) under Phoenix dactylifera (date palm). RNAcentral's name for it is "long non-coding RNA (PDAC_LNC008642)". The record is from RNAcentral. Lineage: Eukaryota; Viridiplantae; Streptophyta; Magnoliopsida; Arecales; Arecaceae.